RNAcentral lists this ribosomal RNA (465 nucleotides) under uncultured bacterium. RNAcentral describes it as "partial 16S ribosomal RNA". It matches the Rfam family "Bacterial small subunit ribosomal RNA", at positions 28 to 507 of the family's 1533-position model. The record is from RNAcentral.
GACGAACGUUGGCGGCGUGCUUAACACAUGCAAGUCGAACGGAAAGGCCCCUUUGGGGGUACUCGAGUGGCGAACGGGUGAGUAACACGUGAGUAACCUGCCCUUGACUUCGGGAUAACUUCAGGAAACUGGGGCUAAUACCGGAUAGGAAUCCUUGCUGCAUGGUGGGGGUUGGAAAGCUUCGGCGGUUUUGGAUGGACUCGCGCCUUAUCAGCUUGUUGGUGGGGUAGUGGCUUACCAAGGCUUUGACGGGUAGCCGGCCUGAGAGGGCGACCGGCCACAGUGGGACUGAGAUACGGCCCAGACUCCUACGGGAGGCAGCAGUGGGGAAUAUUGCACAAUGGGCGGAAGCCUGAUGCAGCAACGCCGCGGGCGGGAGGACGGCCUUCGGGUUGUAAACCGCUUUCAGCAGGGGCGAAGCUUGUGGUGACGGUACCUGCAGAAGAAGCACCGGCUAACUACGUG